Molecule: ribosomal RNA, 253 nt
Filed under: uncultured bacterium
Lineage: Bacteria
Description: partial 16S ribosomal RNA
Rfam family: Bacterial small subunit ribosomal RNA
Source: RNAcentral
UACGAAGGGUGCAAACGUUGCUCGGAAUUAUUGGGCGUAAAGCGCAUGUAGGCGGCUCGGAAAGUCGGAUGUGAAAGCCCAGGGCUCAACCCUGGAAGUGCACUCGAAACUCCCGAGCUGGAGUCCCGGAGAGGAAGGCGGAAUUCUCGGUGUAGAGGUGAAAUUCGUAGAUAUCGAGAGGAACACCUGUGGCGAAGGCGGCCUUCUGGACGGUGACUGACGCUGAGAUGCGAAAGCGUGGGGAGCAAACAGG